RNAcentral lists this ribosomal RNA (253 nucleotides) under uncultured bacterium. RNAcentral's name for it is "partial 16S ribosomal RNA". It matches the Rfam family "Bacterial small subunit ribosomal RNA", at positions 524 to 776 of the family's 1533-position model. The record is from RNAcentral.
UACGUAGGAUCCGAGCGUUGUCCGGAUUUACUGGGUGUAAAGGGUGCGCAGGCGGAUUGGUAAGUCAGUGGUGAAAUCUCGUCGCUUAACGACGAAACUGCCUUUGAUACUAUCAGUCUUGAAUCCGGUAGAGAUCUGUGGAAUUCCGAGUGUAGCAGUGAAAUGUGUAGAUAUUCGGAAGAACACCAGUGGCGAAGGCAGCAGAUUGGGCCGGUAUUGACGCUGAGGCGCGAAAGCCAGGGGAGCAAACGGG